Molecule: small RNA, 29 nt
Filed under: Bombyx mori (domestic silkworm)
Lineage: Eukaryota; Metazoa; Arthropoda; Insecta; Lepidoptera; Bombycidae
Description: ovarian small RNA-16518
Source: RNAcentral
GCAGUGGAUUUAGCCGCAAUGGUCGCGAC